RNAcentral lists this ribosomal RNA (402 nucleotides) under Actinomycetes bacterium. RNAcentral describes it as "Actinobacteria bacterium partial 16S ribosomal RNA". It matches the Rfam family "Bacterial small subunit ribosomal RNA", at positions 355 to 776 of the family's 1533-position model. The record is from RNAcentral. Lineage: Bacteria; Bacillati; Actinomycetota; Actinomycetes.
UGGGGAAUUUUGCACAAUGGGGGCAACCCUGAUGCAGCGACGCCGCGUGAUUUAGAAGGCCUUCGGGUUGUAAAAAUCUUUUGUAUGGGAAGAAAAUGACAGUACCAUACGAAUAAGGACCGGCUAAUUACGUGCCAGCAGCCGCGGUAAUACGUAAGGUCCGAGCGUUGUCCGGAAUCAUUGGGCGUAAAGGGUACGUAGGCGGAUAAGCAAGUUAGAAGUGAAAUCCUAUAGCUCAACUAUAGUAAGCUUUUAAAACUGCUCAUCUUGAGGUAUGGAAGGGAAAGUGGAAUUCCUAGUGUAGCGGUGAAAUGCGCAGAUAUUAGGAGGAAUACCGGUGGCGAAGGCUACUUUCUGGCCAUAAACUGACGCUGAGGUACGAAAGCGUGGGUAGCAAACAGG